RNAcentral lists this non-coding RNA (201 nucleotides) under chicken gut metagenome. Its description in RNAcentral is "6S / SsrS RNA". It matches the Rfam family "6S / SsrS RNA". From Rfam's summary of the family: E. coli 6S RNA was the first non coding RNA to be sequenced, but its function was unknown until recently. It consists of 184 nucleotides that fold into an extended hairpin structure with a large single-stranded internal bulge. The record is from RNAcentral.
UCCCUGCGGUGUUCGUGGAUUUUUAUUGACCCUUUUAAACCCACAUUUUUAAUACGGGACGCCGGACUCUCUAAGUGGAUUGCAGGCCUCCCGGGGCGGCUUUGACCGCACCUGGAAGUUGGAAGCAGCGAAGCUUUGAGGAGGCGACCCACCUGCCAAGUCGUGCAGGUUCUAAUCGGGUCACCACGGCACAUGCGGGGC